AAAAAUAUUUCAACAAAUAUAAAGGUAGGAAUUUAUUCGGUUUCUUGACUUUAAAUUUGGCCUUCGUCAUAGUUAAUUUUUAAAAUUAAUAAAUGAGGUGCAUUUCUAUAGCCCAAUAAUAUGUAUAAUACAAUUGUAAAAUGAAAAGUUAAAACGCACACGCACGAAAAAGUCAAAUAAACCAGUUUUCCACACGCAAAGAAACUGAAUACUUCCUUAUUCAAACGGAAGCAAGAAUCUGCAUUAAACCUUUCAAUUGAUGCUUGGGAGUUUAAAAGUUCAAAUUACUAAUUAAAAGAUAGUUUGAAAAAGUUUAUUAAAUACCAAUAAAAUCAAAUUAAAAAUUUUGGCAGUUUGAGUUAUCAAUAAUACUGAUUUUAGUAAUUUUAACAGAAAUGUUGUUGAGUUUUAAACCGUGAUAGUGUAUUUUCCAAACUGUAUAUGUAAUUAUUCAACUCUACUAUAUUUGUUUUUAAAUUUUGAUAUUUGAACACCUUACAAAUUUGAAAGAAUAUUUUAGAAAAGAAGAGCAAAAUGGUGGUGCGGUGCCUAUUUUCAAAAAAGUGUUGUUACAUGCAGAUCAUAUUGCUAUUAAAAGUAAUGAUACUGAAUAUUCUUACCAACAACUAUAUUUAGGCUCAAAAAAGUUAUCCGUUCAAAUAUCGAACAUAUGUGGUAGUGGAGCAUCAUGCAAUAUUGCAGUUUUUUGUGAAAAUAACGCUUUGUUACCAUUAACGCAAUGGGGUUGUUGGAUGUCUGGACAAGUUUUUGUGCCACUUCUACAUAAAUUUCCACUUGAAACACUAAGUUUUAUUAUUGGUGACUCCAAAUCAAAAAUAAUAAUUUCAGGAAAACUCUAUGAAAAGAUAGCUAAAAAGCUUGCUACAAUGUUUGAUAUACCACUAAUUAUUAUUGAUUACCAUUUUAUACCAGAACACAGUAUAAAUCAUCGCUUUUUGAAAAAGACUAUACUUACGGUCGGCAGUAAUGUUUUUAUAGAAGGCACUUUAAAUAACGACUUCUAUUCUUGUUCGGUUGCAAUGUUGGUUUAUAAUAACACUGCAGCCAAAAAGCCAAAAGGAUGUCAAAUAACACAUAAAAACCUUCUCUCGCGUAUUAAAGUAACAUCAGAAGCGUGGGAUUAUAAAUCAAAUGACGUUUUGCUAAACUUGUUGCCGGUAGAAUUCAAUAUUUACAGCGUACAUUCUAUGAUGUGCUUGCUAAGUGUUGGUGGAAAAAUAGAUUUCUGCAAUAAUAUCAAUUACGACAAAGUAUGGAAUAUAAUACUUGGUAUAAAUAUGCUAAUAAACGAUAAACCCAAUAUGCUGACAGCAUUGCCUUCAACGUAUACCAAAAUCCUCAGAGUAUAUGCCAAAGCAUUUUAUAAUAAUCGUAGGAUGGUUGAAUAUAUUAAAAACUAUUGUCAGCUUAAUAUUCGACUAAUGAUAUCUGGAUCAACCCCCUUACCAAUGAACAUUUUCUAUUAUUGGUAUAAAGUGACAGGUCAUAAACUUCUACGGUAUUAUGAAACACCCGAAACCGGAGCAAUUUUAGGUAAUCCAUAUAUCGAAGAUAAAUGGCGGAAGCGGAAGCAAAACUCAUUUAACAUACUGUUUCCUCAAAUCAUGAUUAGGAUUGUCAAUUCUAAAGAUAAAACAAUAAUUGCAUCUGCAAUUGGAAAUUCAGAAAAAGGAGGAGUUGAUAAUGCCGUACAAAUUGUAUCUUUCAAUACCAGAUUUAAAAACUUUUUAGGGGAACUUCAUGUAUCGGGGCAAACUAUUUUUAAAGGAUAUCUACAUCAAGAAGAUACGGAAGUAUAUUUUGAAAACAACUUUUUUAAAACAGGAAUGAUUGUGGAGUUUGAAAAUAAUACCUUUAGGUUGCUGGGACGUGUUAACAGCACAGUUCUUAAAAGAGCUGGACGAAAUAUUUCAAGUGAUGAAAUAGAAACACUAUUAAAAACCCACCCCAAAAUAAAAGAUGUGGCAGUUGUAGGUGUUCAUCACCCACGCUGGAAUGUGAGCAUUUGCGCUGUAUGUGUUAUUAAAACAGAAUCAAAUCCGGAUUUAGCCAAUAUUAAGCUAUUUUGUUCUAAAUGGUUGCCUCCGUAUAUGUGCCCUGAUAUUUUUAAAAUAGUUCCAUAUAUACAUCGAAAUUCGGACAGUAAAAUUGAGAAGAAUCCCUUAACAAAAUUAUAUUACUUGUAAUGUCGCCAUUAUAUAUCGCUGCAAAAUUUACUUAUAGUUAUUAUAACAUGUUUCCGAUUAUAAUAACAUAAAAGUUUGAAAUAACCGUCUAAUAAUCAUUACUUUAUCGAUGAUAAUACUCUAAAGGUUGGUUGAGAAUUUUUUAGAAAAGCGUCAAUUAACAUACAUAUAAUUGGCAUUUUACUAUCGAUGCAAUUAUUAUUUUAAUGCACAUCGGUCAUUCCCACCGAUGGCACUAGUCCCUUAGGCGACAACCACGCCUUCCUGCGUUUCGCUUCGAUGUGAGCGUACUUAUACAAAAGCAUACAUCGAACUUUUCAGUCAAUACAAAUGUCUGACAAAAAGCGAAGCAAAAGUUCUAUGUCCAUCAGUCAUCAUCUUUUUACGCUUUGCCAAGCAAACGUAUAUAUAUAUAUUUAUAAAAAAUUUUUUUUUAAACCUUUGUCUGCUGAGAGAAAUUACCGCACGUAUGACGGAGAAUUCCCUGGGAUAUACGAAGUCAUAACAAAUUUCAGACAUUGAGUUGAAGGCACAAAUUUUAGCACUCGAUAAUUAAGAAAUCCUUGUUAUGACCUCAGCCAAGUUGUUCGAUAAUUUCAGAUGACGAAAAAACGAGAUUGAGAAAAGAUGGAUAACGUGUAUCUUUCUAAAAUUUGACCAAACUACUCGAAACUCUUGUUUACGUGUGGUCGUUAUUCCUUAUAGCCUUUAUUUUCCUCAUUUCGAUUGCCAGUCCAUACGUUAGCAUCAUAACAAAGCAAAGGAUUUCUUAUGGUUGAUUCACAAACAACUUUUGCCUCAAACAUUUCUUUUGACAGAUAAGUUCGAUGCAAUAAAACGAAGCAACAUUUUUGGGCAAAUGUCAUCUUUUUGCGCUCAUUGUUUGGUCACUUGAUCACAACCAUUAAAUAAUUAAUAUAUUUCAGUAUGAGAUAUUAUUUGUGGCUAUAUUUGUAUAUUUUAAAUUAAGAAUCGACGAAGCAGCAACAUCAGAUAGUUUUGAUACUUUCAAAUUGCAAUAUUAUGAUAAUUGGUAACAACUAUUGGAUUUUAGGAAAUGUAGCCUCUGGGUAAGUAGCUUGAAUUUAUCGAUUUUUAGUAAUGGUAAGUGUCGCUGUGAAACGGGAGAAAAUGGAAUGGAAACACCCUUUUUGUGAAGAACAUGGUAAUCAUGAAUUUUGGAUAACUCAUGCACAUAUACCCAUUUGGCAUUCGUGUGUACAUUUGUACGUUCUGAAAAAGCAGUUGGUGCAAUUGGAUCAAACGUUUUUCAAAGCUUUUUGCAUAUAACUCAAGAAAAUGGCUUCUGGUGUAACCGUGUCAGAUGUUUGUAAAACCACAUACGAAGAAAUUAAAAA
This is a non-coding RNA of Bactrocera oleae (olive fruit fly), 3565 nucleotides long. NCBI's taxonomy places the organism in Eukaryota, Metazoa, Arthropoda, Insecta, Diptera, Tephritidae. The record is from RefSeq and is a predicted model, not a curated record.